Long non-coding RNA from Vigna angularis (adzuki bean), 584 nucleotides. RefSeq lists it as uncharacterized. The transcript has 3 exons. The record is from RefSeq and is a predicted model, not a curated record. NCBI's taxonomy places the organism in Eukaryota, Viridiplantae, Streptophyta, Magnoliopsida, Fabales, Fabaceae.
UAUAUAUAUAUAUAUAUAUAUAUAUAUAUAUAUAUAUAUAUAUAUAUAUAUAUAUAUAUCUUUCGUGCUACCUCUCUCUUUCUCUCCGUGCCUUCCACCACCCUCGCCAUUUCCGUUCCCAAGGUCUUGCGUGAUCCAAGCUUUGGUGACAAGCGUGGUCAGAAAUAUUUUGUGAGGAUGAAUAGAAAAUUUGGUGGUGGAAGACAGCCGACAGGGACUCCUUCACUGGCUUGGUCCUGUGUGGUUGUUGUCUUCUCUCUUCUUGCUGGUGCUUCUGUUGUUCACAAUAUCUAUAAGCCUAAUCUUACAUUGCCUCCGGUUGAUGGGACCAAGCAGAAAUCUGAUGGGAAAGAAUGAUCAUCUCCCCUGUAAAUUUCUUUUAAUAUAGUGAGAUACUAAGCUUUGGGGCUUAAAGUUAAGUAUCAGUAGUUUAGGAUACAAAAUUAGAAAGGAUUAAGUUAGGAAGAGAAUAUUAUUUCAUUCAUUAAUUUUUUUGGAGUUUUGUUUGUAUGCAAAUAUUUUAAAUUUUUGGUGCAUGUAUGGUUACAACAUUUUUUAUGGCCAAAAUAUUUGAAAGACUGAUA